AGGUGAAGGUAGAAAGUAUGUGUGAGCUGAUGUGAAUCCAGCAGAAUGGAUCAGUGUGAGGACAGAGAGGAGGGAGUCCCUCCCUCUAAAACCACUGUGAGAGAGUCAAAUGAGAUGUUCAUGAAGAAGUGUGAGGCUCAGAGUGUCCAUCAGACACCAGAAUGUAAACACAAACCUGAUCCCAGCUGUGUGUCUAUGAAGAGUGACCAGUCCAUGGAACGUCCGCUAAGAUUUGAGUCUUGUAGAGUGAAGCAGCAGAGUUUAAAUGUUCUCAGUGAUCAGUCUGUUCAUCAGCAUCAAAC
Long non-coding RNA from Mugil cephalus (flathead mullet), 302 nucleotides. RefSeq lists it as uncharacterized. The record is from RefSeq and is a predicted model, not a curated record. NCBI's taxonomy places the organism in Eukaryota, Metazoa, Chordata, Actinopteri, Mugiliformes, Mugilidae. The transcript has 3 exons.